This 1542-nucleotide ribosomal RNA is filed under the name Serratia plymuthica RVH1. RNAcentral describes it as "bacterial SSU rRNA". It matches the Rfam family "Bacterial small subunit ribosomal RNA". The record is from RNAcentral. Lineage: Bacteria; Pseudomonadati; Pseudomonadota; Gammaproteobacteria; Enterobacterales; Yersiniaceae.
AAAUUGAAGAGUUUGAUCAUGGCUCAGAUUGAACGCUGGCGGCAGGCCUAACACAUGCAAGUCGAGCGGUAGCACAAGAGAGCUUGCUCUCUGGGUGACGAGCGGCGGACGGGUGAGUAAUGUCUGGGAAACUGCCUGAUGGAGGGGGAUAACUACUGGAAACGGUAGCUAAUACCGCAUAACGUCUACGGACCAAAGUGGGGGACCUUCGGGCCUCACGCCAUCAGAUGUGCCCAGAUGGGAUUAGCUAGUAGGUGGGGUAAUGGCUCACCUAGGCGACGAUCCCUAGCUGGUCUGAGAGGAUGACCAGCCACACUGGAACUGAGACACGGUCCAGACUCCUACGGGAGGCAGCAGUGGGGAAUAUUGCACAAUGGGCGCAAGCCUGAUGCAGCCAUGCCGCGUGUGUGAAGAAGGCCUUAGGGUUGUAAAGCACUUUCAGCGAGGAGGAAGGGUAGUGUGUUAAUAGCACAUUGCAUUGACGUUACUCGCAGAAGAAGCACCGGCUAACUCCGUGCCAGCAGCCGCGGUAAUACGGAGGGUGCAAGCGUUAAUCGGAAUUACUGGGCGUAAAGCGCACGCAGGCGGUUUGUUAAGUCAGAUGUGAAAUCCCCGCGCUUAACGUGGGAACUGCAUUUGAAACUGGCAAGCUAGAGUCUUGUAGAGGGGGGUAGAAUUCCAGGUGUAGCGGUGAAAUGCGUAGAGAUCUGGAGGAAUACCGGUGGCGAAGGCGGCCCCCUGGACAAAGACUGACGCUCAGGUGCGAAAGCGUGGGGAGCAAACAGGAUUAGAUACCCUGGUAGUCCACGCUGUAAACGAUGUCGAUUUGGAGGUUGUGCCCUUGAGGCGUGGCUUCCGGAGCUAACGCGUUAAAUCGACCGCCUGGGGAGUACGGCCGCAAGGUUAAAACUCAAAUGAAUUGACGGGGGCCCGCACAAGCGGUGGAGCAUGUGGUUAAAUUCGAUGCAACGCGAAGAACCUUACCUACUCUUGACAUCCAGAGAACUUUCCAGAGAUGGAUUGGUGCCUUCGGGAACUCUGAGACAGGUGCUGCAUGGCUGUCGUCAGCUCGUGUUGUGAAAUGUUGGGUUAAGUCCCGCAACGAGCGCAACCCUUAUCCUUUGUUGCCAGCGAUUCGGUCGGGAACUCAAAGGAGACUGCCGGUGAUAAACCGGAGGAAGGUGGGGAUGACGUCAAGUCAUCAUGGCCCUUACGAGUAGGGCUACACACGUGCUACAAUGGCGUAUACAAAGAGAAGCGAACUCGCGAGAGCAAGCGGACCUCAUAAAGUACGUCGUAGUCCGGAUUGGAGUCUGCAACUCGACUCCAUGAAGUCGGAAUCGCUAGUAAUCGUAGAUCAGAAUGCUACGGUGAAUACGUUCCCGGGCCUUGUACACACCGCCCGUCACACCAUGGGAGUGGGUUGCAAAAGAAGUAGGUAGCUUAACCUUCGGGAGGGCGCUUACCACUUUGUGAUUCAUGACUGGGGUGAAGUCGUAACAAGGUAACCGUAGGGGAACCUGCGGUUGGAUCACCUCCUUA